AACGAACGCUGGCGGCAUGCCUAACACAUGCAAGUCGAACGAGACCUUCGGGUCUAGUGUCGCACGGGUGCGUAACGCGUGGGAACCUGCCCUUAGGUUCGGAAUAACUCCCCGAAAGGGGUGCUAAUACCGGAUAAUGUCUUCGGACCAAAGAUUUAUCGCCCUUGGUUGGGCCCGCGUUGGAUUAGAUCGUUGGUAGGGUAAACGCCUACCACGGCGACGAUUCAUAGCUGGUUUGAGAGGAUGCCCAGCCACACUGGCGCUGAGACACGGCCCGGACUCCUACACAAGGCAGCAGUGGGGGAUAUUGCACGCUGGGCGAAAGCCUGAUCCAGCUGUGCCGCGUGAGUGAUGAUGUCCUUAGGGUUGUAAUGCUCUUUUACCCGGGAUGAUAAUGACAGUACCGGAAGAAUAAGCUCCGGCUAACUCCGUG
Molecule: ribosomal RNA, 433 nt
Filed under: uncultured bacterium
Lineage: Bacteria
Description: partial 16S ribosomal RNA
Rfam family: Bacterial small subunit ribosomal RNA
Source: RNAcentral